This 161-nucleotide ribosomal RNA is filed under the name uncultured bacterium. RNAcentral describes it as "partial 16S ribosomal RNA". It matches the Rfam family "Bacterial small subunit ribosomal RNA", at positions 358 to 511 of the family's 1533-position model. The record is from RNAcentral.
GGAAUCUUCCACAAUGGGCGAAAGCCUGAUGGAGCAACGCCGCGUGUGUGAUGAAGGGUUUCGGCUCGUAAAACACUGUUGUAAGAGAAGAAUGACAUUGAGAGUAACUGUUCAAUGUGUGACGGUAUCUUACCAGAAAGGAACGGCUAAAUACGUGCCUG